Molecule: ribosomal RNA, 2517 nt
Filed under: Triticum aestivum (bread wheat)
Lineage: Eukaryota; Viridiplantae; Streptophyta; Magnoliopsida; Poales; Poaceae
Description: partial small subunit ribosomal RNA
Source: RNAcentral
AGAAAAUCAGGGGGAAAAGUGGGGUGUUGGAAACGAAGGCCAGGCCAGCCGAGCAGAGCUGUUCGUUGUUGUUAUAAAGCCGCAACUUGUUCCCUUCCCCCUCCCUCCCAAUCUGCCUGCGCUCCGCUCCCUCAUCACUCUCCCCCCUCCGCGCCCGCCGGAUCACCCGCCGGCCUCCGCUCUCUCUCUCUCUCCACCAUCGCCUACGAGCUAGGAGUAGUGGGCUACGACCUACGAGUGAGUGAUAGCCCGCAACUCUGUCCCGCCAUUACUCCACCCUCAUAACAGAGGAAGCAGGGAGCAGAGGAGGCGGAGAAGAGCCGGGAAAGAGCACGCCGGCAGGCAAGGCAGGCAGAGAGUAAUCCUUCCGCUCUGCGGCCGUACCUUCACCCGGGCGGCGCGGCGGCCACCACCACCACGCUCCUAGGCUCCUAGCUAGCUAGCUACCGUAGCUACGAGCGAGCCAGCAGAGAGCCCACUCCUGCAUCAAUCGCACAGUAAAUUCCGGCGCACCCUGCAUUCACUGCCCCGUCCGUCCGGCCGGCCAAAUCUUUUCUGAUCCUCCUCCUCAUCGCGAGAAAAGCAAAGCACAGCGCAGCCGCGUGGUGAGAGAACGGGGGAGAGGCGAGGAUGGUGCCGCGCGAGCAUGGGGACGAGGCCAUCGUGGCGGACGGGCACGGCAAGGAGGAGGAGGUCGGGGUGAUGGGCGUGAGCAGCGGCGGCGCGGACGGCGACGAGGAGCAGCACGGCGGCGGCGGCGGCAAGUUCAGCGUGACCAGCUUCCUCUGGCACGGCGGCUCCGUGUGGGACGCCUGGUUCAGCUGCGCCUCCAACCAGGUGGCGCAGGUGCUGCUGACGCUGCCCUACUCCUUCUCGCAGCUGGGGAUGCUCUCGGGCAUCCUGCUGCAGCUCUUCUACGGCUUCCUCGGCAGCUGGACCGCCUACCUCAUCAGCGUCCUCUACGUCGAGUACCGCUCCCGCAAGGAGAAGGAGGGCGUCAGCUUCAAGAACCACGUCAUCCAGUGGUUCGAGGUGCUGGACGGGCUGCUGGGCCCGUACUGGAAGGCGGCCGGGCUGGCCUUCAACUGCACCUUCCUGCUCUUCGGCACCGUCAUCCAGCUCAUCGCCUGCGCCAGUAACAUCUACUACAUCAACGACCGGCUGGACAAGCGGACGUGGACGUACAUCUUCGGCGCCUGCUGCGCCACCACCGUCUUCAUCCCGUCCUUCCACAACUACCGGAUCUGGUCCUUCCUGGGCCUGGGCAUGACCACCUACACGGCCUGGUACCUGGCCAUCGCCGCGCUCAUCAACGGGCAGGUGGAGGGCGUCACCCACACCGGCCCCAACAAGCUCGUCCUCUACUUCACCGGCGCCACCAACAUCCUCUACACCUUCGGCGGACACGCCGUCACCGUGGAGAUCAUGCACGCGAUGUGGAAGCCGGCCAAGUUCAAGUACAUCUACCUGCUGGCGACGCUGUACGUGUUCACGCUGACGCUGCCGUCGGCGUCGGCCAUGUACUGGGCGUACGGGGACGAGCUGCUGGCGCACGCCAACGCCUUCUCGCUGCUGCCCAAGACGGCGUGGCGGGACGCGGCCGUCAUCCUCAUGCUCAUCCACCAGUUCAUCACCUUCGGCUUCGCCUGCACGCCGCUCUACUUCGUGUGGGAGAAGGUGAUCGGCAUGCACGACACCAAGAGCGUCUGCCUCCGCGCCCUCGCCAGGCUCCCCAUCGUCGUCCCCAUCUGGUUCCUCGCCAUCAUCUUCCCCUUCUUCGGCCCCAUCAACUCCGCCGUCGGCGCCCUCCUCGUCAGCUUCACCGUCUACAUCAUCCCCGCCCUCGCCCACAUGCUCACCUACCGAUCCGCAUCCGCACGCGCCAACGCGGCGGAGAAGCCGCCCUUCUUCCUGCCGAGCUGGACGGGGAUGUUCGUGCUCAACGCCUUCAUCGUGGUGUGGGUGUUCGUGGUCGGCUUCGGCCUCGGCGGCUGGGCCAGCAUGGUCAACUUCAUCCGCCAGAUCAACACCUUCGGCCUCUUCGCCAAGUGCUACCAGUGCCCCAAGCCCGGCGCCGCCAUCGUCGCUCCUGGCCCCUCCUCCUUGCACCACUAGCUCCCUCGCCGUCGCCCGGGACCGUGACACUGCCAUGCCACUGGCCGGUGGGAAGCAAGCAAGGAGCUCGAGAAGCUUCCCCUCCCGCUCCCGGCGGCCGGCACGGCGGAUCCAUUACUGUUGCUUGCUAGGUUUUGGUCGCCUUGUAAUAUACAAGCCUCGCCUCUCCUAGGGCGUCCGUCAGUGUCACACCGCACCGUAGUAGAACAGCAGGGUGACCGGGUCCCUAAGACCACGUCCGUUGCUUCCCCCUGCCAGACCCGUUGGUAGUACGUACGUACGUGUCCGUGUGUUUGUGUUUGGCUUGCCCCACCAAUAUAUAUGUGAUGGUCUUCAUGGCUUAUAAGAUUUGCAUGCAGCUCAUGGGACAUUUCAUAUGAUGAUGAAUUGAAUUGAUGAUGG